RNAcentral lists this long non-coding RNA (1054 nucleotides) under Astyanax mexicanus (Mexican tetra). RNAcentral describes it as "lncRNA (ENSAMXG00005023118.1)". Lineage: Eukaryota; Metazoa; Chordata; Actinopteri; Characiformes; Acestrorhamphidae. The record is from RNAcentral.
UCUGAUUAGAGCUUUUACUUUAUCAGAGUGGACUGGAGGCUGAUAUCAUUUCAGCACUUACUCCCAGUCCAACUGGCCUCUGUCACAGUGCUGUAUUAACAGCCAUACAUUAUUCAGCUGAAAAAACAAAUGUGCUCAACCUGGAACAACUGAGACGGUGUUGUGAAGGAAACUAAGUCCCUAAGGUUUGAUCACAGAGUAAAAAAGGUGAUUCUUUGCCUUCAAACAGCUGUAAAGUUGUAACUAAUGAAAGUGGAUUGUUGUGUUUAUUCGCACAGUAUUGGGUUCAGAGUCAUUUCACAAAAAUUAAGCCUGUUAAAAAUCAAAUGAAUAAAAAAAGGAAAGAACAGAAGGGGAUUUCUUCCCAGAAAAGGUUGAGACUCUAAAGAAAAUGAAAAACAAAAAGUCAGUGUUUCUUCCGUUUACUUGAAUUUUAUCUUAUUUUUACACAGUUUAAAACCAAUUAAUUUAAUGUUUUGUCUGCUUAUUUAUUAUGUACAUCAAUUCCUGUAUUUCAAGUCUGAAAGGGCCAUCAGGCAUCAGUAUUCCAGACUGUUGAAGAAUGAAGAAAAGGGCCUUCCAGACAGAUAUCAGCAACAGAUCAAAAACACAGGACAAUAGCAGUGAAGAACAGGACACCGCAGAGCUGCAGCCACCACAGAAGACCUCUGAUGGUCAGUCUGGCUGGCUUUGUGCUUCAAUGUUUCCUGGGUGGUCAGUGGUGGUCCGGAGCUCCCCUGCAGGCACCAGGUUCAGACUCCUGGAGUUUAGGGUUUAGCUGUGCUGGAUGCCUUUGGGGCCUGGGAUUCCUAUAGCAGAGAUCAGUCUGGAGGGCACUUCAGCUAUUCAGUCUCAUAGCAAAAAGUAAUGAAUGGCUAUACAGGUCCAUGAUAUAUAUGAUAUAUAUAUGAUGGCUUAAUAAGAUAUGGCAAAAGUCAUAAAGCAUGAUACUUGUCCCUAUCCCAUGACUUUUGCUAUGUCCUAUUAAAGCUGAAGAGUGCUGGAUUGAUCUAUAGGAUAUGUAUUUGAGCCACAUUAAGAAAAAAAAAAAAAC